UUACUGGGCGUAAAGCGCACGCAGGCGGUCUGUUAAGCUAGAUGUGAAAGCCCCGCGCUCAACGUGGGAGGGUCAUUUAGAACUGGCAGGCUAGAGUCUUGGAGAGGGGAGUGGAAUUCCAGGUGUAGCGGUGAAAUGCGUAGAGAUCUGGAGGAACAUCAAUGGCGAAGGCAACUCCCUGGCCAAAGACUGACGCUCAUGUGCGAAAGUGUGGGUAGCGAACAGGAUUAGAUACCCUGGUAGUCCACGCCGUAAACGAUCAUCACUCGCUGUUGGCGAUAUACUGUCAGCGGCCAAGCGAAAGUAUUAAGUGAUGCACCUGGGGAGUACGCCGGCAACGGUGAAACUCAAAGGAAUUGACGGGGGCCCGCACAAGCGGUGGAGCAUGUGGUUUAAUUCGAUGAUACGCGAGGAACCUUACCAGGGCUUAAAUGUAGUAUGACCGGUCUGGAAACAGGCCUUCCCUUCGGGGCAGAUUACAAGGUGCUGCAUGGCU
Molecule: ribosomal RNA, 496 nt
Filed under: uncultured Alteromonadaceae bacterium
Lineage: Bacteria; Pseudomonadati; Pseudomonadota; Gammaproteobacteria; Alteromonadales; Alteromonadaceae
Description: bacterial SSU rRNA
Rfam family: Bacterial small subunit ribosomal RNA
Source: RNAcentral